RNAcentral lists this ribosomal RNA (502 nucleotides) under Salmonella enterica subsp. enterica serovar Enteritidis. RNAcentral's name for it is "partial 23S ribosomal RNA". It matches the Rfam family "Bacterial large subunit ribosomal RNA", at positions 140 to 684 of the family's 2925-position model. The record is from RNAcentral. Lineage: Bacteria; Pseudomonadati; Pseudomonadota; Gammaproteobacteria; Enterobacterales; Enterobacteriaceae.
UCGUCACACUAUCAUUAACUGAAUCCAUAGGUUAAUGAGGCGAACCGGGGGAACUGAAACAUCUAAGUACCCCGAGGAAAAGAAAUCAACCGAGAUUCCCCCAGUAGCGGCGAGCGAACGGGGAGGAGCCCAGAGCCUGAAUCAGCAUGUGUGUUAGUGGAAGCGUCUGGAAAGGCGCGCGAUACAGGGUGACAGCCCCGUACACAAAAGCGCAUGUGCUGUGAGCUCGAUGAGUAGGGCGGGACACGUGGUAUCCUGUCUGAAUAUGGGGGGACCAUCCUCCAAGGCUAAAUACUCCUGACUGACCGAUAGUGAACCAGUACCGUGAGGGAAAGGCGAAAAGAACCCCGGCGAGGGGAGUGAAAAAGAACCUGAAACCGUGUACGUACAAGCAGUGGGAGCACCCUUUGGGUGUGACUGCGUACCUUUUGUAUAAUGGGUCAGCGACUUAUAUUCUGUAGCAAGGUUAACCGAAUAGGGGAGCCGGAGGGAAACCGAGUCU